AAUGAACGUUGGCGGCAUGGAUUAGGCAUGCAAGUCGGGGGAAUCCCAGCAAUGGGGGAACCGGCGUAAGGGGCAGUAAGGCAUGGGUACCUACCUUGGGGUUCGGGAUAGCCAUCAGAGAUGGUGGGUAAUACCGGAUGACGUCGUGAGACCAAAGAUUUAUCGCCCUUAGAGGGGCCCAUGUGAUAUUAGCUAGUUGGUGGGGUAACGGCCCACCAAGGCGAAGAUGUCUAGCGGGUGUGAGAGCACGACCCGCGCCCCCCGCACUGAGACACUGGCGAGACACCUACGGGUGGCUGCAGUCGAGGAUCUUCGGCAAUGAGCGCAAGCUUGACCGAGCGAUGCCGCGUGAGCGAUGAAGGCCUUCGGGUUGUAAAGCUCUUUAGUGGGGGAGAAAAGCCGCAAGGUGUGAUCUAUCCCAAAAAUAAGCACGGGCUAAGUUCGUGCCAGCAGCCGCCGCCG
RNAcentral lists this ribosomal RNA (462 nucleotides) under uncultured bacterium. RNAcentral describes it as "partial 16S ribosomal RNA". It matches the Rfam family "Bacterial small subunit ribosomal RNA", at positions 29 to 523 of the family's 1533-position model. The record is from RNAcentral.